AGGACGAACGCUGGCGGCGUGCCUAACACAUGCAAGUCGAACGGGACCAGGGGCAACUCUGGUUCAGUGGCGGACGGGUGCGUAACACGUGAGGAACAUGACCUUCGGCGGGGGAUAGCCGGCCCAACGGCCGGGUAAUACCGCGUACGACCACUUUGAGACAUCCCUGGGUGGUGAAAGCAGCAAUGCGCCGAUGGAGUGCCUCGCGGCCUAUCAGCUAGUUGGUGAGGUAACGGCUCACCAAGGCGACGACGGGUA
This 258-nucleotide ribosomal RNA is filed under the name uncultured soil bacterium. RNAcentral's name for it is "partial 16S ribosomal RNA". It matches the Rfam family "Bacterial small subunit ribosomal RNA", at positions 26 to 285 of the family's 1533-position model. The record is from RNAcentral.